RNAcentral lists this ribosomal RNA (481 nucleotides) under uncultured bacterium. RNAcentral's name for it is "partial 16S ribosomal RNA". It matches the Rfam family "Bacterial small subunit ribosomal RNA", at positions 28 to 523 of the family's 1533-position model. The record is from RNAcentral.
GACGAACGCUGGCGGCGUGCUUAACACAUGCAAGUCGAACGCUGAAGCCCUUUCGGGGGUGGAUGAGUGGCGAACGGGGGAGUAACACGUGGGUCAUCUGCCCUGCACUCUGGGAUAAGCCUUCGAAACGGGGUCUAAUACCGGAUAGGACACAUCGCCGCAGGGCGUGUGCGGGGAACUUUCCGGCGGUUCAGGUUGAGCCCGCGGCCUAUCAGCUUGGUGGGGGGGUGAUGGCCUAACGAGGCGACGUCGGGUAGCCGGCCUGUGAGGGUGACCGGCCACACGGGGACUGAGACACGGCCCAGACUCCUACGGGGGGCAGCAGUGGGGAAUCUUGCGCAAUGGGCGAAAGCCUGACGCAGCAACGCCGCGUGGGGGAUGACGGCCUUCGGGUUGUAAACCUCUUUCGACCGGGACGAAGGGUGACUGACGGUACCGGUAGAAGAAGCACCGGCUAACUACGUGCCAGCCGCCGCGGUAA